RNAcentral lists this long non-coding RNA (468 nucleotides) under Elaeis guineensis (African oil palm). RNAcentral describes it as "long non-coding RNA (EGUI_LNC050311)". The record is from RNAcentral. Lineage: Eukaryota; Viridiplantae; Streptophyta; Magnoliopsida; Arecales; Arecaceae.
GGGCAUGCAUGUGUAUUUCAAAAUUUUUUUUCUAAACAACGUAGUAGAAUAGAAGAUUAAAACUCCUUUUAACCUAAAUUAUGCAUGCAUAAAACAUAGAAUACAUGAAUUUAUUUCAUAUGCUGAAAUUGAACACAUACUAAAUUUUAUGUUAAAAUUCAAUAUGUAAUCGAAUCACAUACCUAUUUUAUAAUUUUUUUUUCAAAUCUAGAUAUGAAAAAGAGUAGGUUCUCUCUUAGCCACACAAGUGCUCGACCUCUAUAAAUAUCCACUCAGGAUCAGUCUGAAACAGUCCUUUUUGAUGUUGAUCUUUUUUCUUCAAGAAUAAUCACCCUGUGAAUCUGAACGAAGCUUGGAUUGUGAUCAACUCUUUGAUCCUUUUCUUAAUAUUUUUCUUCUUUUUUUCUCUUGCUCUUCUUUUCUUGAUUAUGAAGCAACCAAGGUCUGAAAAUCAGCAAGGAAGAGGGG